Molecule: ribosomal RNA, 506 nt
Filed under: uncultured Glomeromycotina
Lineage: Eukaryota; Fungi; Glomeromycota
Description: partial small subunit ribosomal RNA
Rfam family: Eukaryotic small subunit ribosomal RNA
Source: RNAcentral
CCAAUAGCGUAUAUUAAAGUUGUUGCAGUUAAAAAGCUCGUAGUUGAAUUUCGGGAUUGACGUGAUGGUCGUGCCUUAAGGGGUAUGAACUGUUGCUGUUGAUUUCUCACCUUCUGGAGAAACUUGAUGUCCUUAAUUGGGCGUCUUGCGGAUCCAGGACCUUUACCCUGAAAAAAUUAGAGUGUUUAAAGCAGGCAUUUUGCUCGAAUACAUUAGCAUGGAAUAAUAGAAUAGGACGGCAUGGUUCUAUUUUGUUGGUUUCUAGGAUCACCGUAAUGAUUAAUAGGGAUAGUUGGGGGCAUUAGUAUUCAAUUGUCAGAGGUGAAAUUCUUGGAUUUAUUGAAGACUAACUACUGCGAAAGCAUUUGCCAAGGAUGUUUUUAUUAAUCAAGAACGAAAGUUAGGGGAUCGAAGACGAUCAGAUACCGUCGUAGUCUUAACCAUAAACUAUGCCGACUAGGAAUCAGACGAUGUUAAUUUUUUAAUGACUCGUUUGGCACCUUACG